CAUGCCCGGGGCGUCUGCGGUCGUCCCAGCAUCGACGCCACGCGGACCCGGCACCUGCCGCUGCCGCCUGGACUGCUGCGCGGCCCGGAGAGCGUCGCCUUUGACGACAAAGGCAACGGCCCAUACAGCGGCGUCUCCGACGGCCGCGUCCUCAAGUGGAACGGCGACAGGCUCGACUGGACGACGUACACUUACAGCCCUGGAUACAGCAGCGAGGCGUGCACGGCGUCCGUCCGCCGCCCCGAGACCGUGACCGAGAGCCGCUGCGGCCGUCCGCUGGGCCUGCGGUUUCACCACAAGUCUGGCUACUUGUACAUAGCCGACGCCUACAAGGGGCUCAUGAGGGUCGCGCCAGGAGGCGGGGAGGCGACGGUGCUCGUCACGGAGGCCGAUGGCGCUCCUCUCCGCUUCACCAACGGCGUGGACGUCGACCAGGUGACCGGUGAAGUCUACUUCACCGACAGCUCUAUGAAAUAUCAAAGGUCACAGCACGAGAUCGUAACAAGAACCGGGGACUCCACAGGCCGCCUAAUGAGAUAUGAUCCACGCACAGGAAAAGUGAUUGUGCUAAAGGCCGGCAUCACUUACCCCAAUGGUCUCGCCAUCAGCGCUGAUCGGACACACCUCGUCAUCUCAUCGACCGGGCCGUGCAAGUUGCUGAGGUACUGGACCAAAGGUCCCAAGACAGGGUCGAUCGAACUGUUAACUGAUCUACCGGGCUAUCCUGAUAACGUGAGCCCGGACAAGAGAGGAGGAUACUGGGUGGCAAUACAUCGUGAGAAGACAGAACUCCCCUUUGGCGUCGAUAGCCAUCUACUUGCCUUGAGGAUCACCGCUGAUGGAAAAAUAAUCGAGAAGAUGAGAGGACCCAAGGGCAUGAGGCCAACAGAGGUGGUGGAACGGACAGGCGGUAGACUAUUUGUGGGAUCCGUUGAGCUUUCUUAUGUGGUCGUGGUCACCCGCAAAUAG
RNAcentral lists this ribosomal RNA (969 nucleotides) under Triticum aestivum (bread wheat). Its description in RNAcentral is "partial small subunit ribosomal RNA". Lineage: Eukaryota; Viridiplantae; Streptophyta; Magnoliopsida; Poales; Poaceae. The record is from RNAcentral.